This is a long non-coding RNA of Dreissena polymorpha, 274 nucleotides long. RefSeq lists it as uncharacterized. The record is from RefSeq and is a predicted model, not a curated record. The transcript has 3 exons. NCBI's taxonomy places the organism in Eukaryota, Metazoa, Mollusca, Bivalvia, Myida, Dreissenidae.
GGCCGAAACGUACAAUCAGGUCUGUGCUGAUUAUAUAUUUAUACUCCCCAUAAGCAGUUCAGAGUCCAUCACAGGUAUCAGCUGGUCAUCUUCGCCAUUUUAACUGAAACGUUGUGUUGGAAAUAUUCCACUAAGGUCAGCCAUUUUUCCGCUUCUUGUUGGAAGAAGAAGUAUAUUCGGACAGUCUUACCCGGCUUCCCGGCUCCGUGAGUAAAACAUAUACCCGACGUCGUAGCGAAACGGACUACGCUUUGACCUCGUCAGCCCCCAGUGG